Molecule: long non-coding RNA, 2425 nt
Organism: Anabas testudineus (climbing perch)
Lineage: Eukaryota; Metazoa; Chordata; Actinopteri; Anabantiformes; Anabantidae
Source: Ensembl
AACGAGUUCUGACUGUUAUAAUUGUAUACUGUAUAAGUGAACGUGUUCCUCAUUUUGUUUCACUUUUCUUCCAGGUAAAAAAGAAACAAGCUGAGCUGCAGCAGCUACAAAAAGAGAAUCAGAGCAGAGAGAAGAACCUGCAGAGUCUGAAGAAGCAGCUGGAGAACAAGAGUGAAGAGGUUCAUAUCUUCUAGAAAUGUCUGAUCAUUUCUGCUGUCAGAAACACACUGACUGGAUCAAAUACAUCUGGUUCACUUACAUCCUGAACCUAAAAACCCACUUGACUGUUCAUGAAGAUGCUGGUUUGUAUAAUCACCUACAUGAUCUGAUAUAGUAAUAUAGUGUCUAUUUAUCUAUUUCUCCCUCACAGCUCGACACAAUCAAAGCCAAAAAACAUCACUGGUACACUUUGAGGUCCACCAAGGAGGAACAUCAGGAGAAGAUAACAGAGGCUGAAAGAGAAGUGGAGUCAUUGAAGAAGCAGCUGGAGACCACAGAGACUAAAAUCAAAGAGUUUAAAAACAAACAAGCUGAAGUUCAGAAACUAAAGAAAGAGAUUCAAGAGAUGGAAACCGACCUUCAGAUGCUGUUGAAAAAUCAGGAGACCAACAACACAAAGGUGAAUCAACUAAAGACUGAAGUUCAGAAGCUCAAAGAGGAGAAACAGAGGAGUGAGGAUCAAAGACAGCAGCUGGAAAAGAAGCUGGAGACCAAGAAACUGAAUUAUUCUAGUUUAUUGUCUUCACUAUAAGUGAACAACCUUCACUUACUGUGACUCUGUAAAAUUGGUCCUUCAAACAUCCUCCUACUUAAAAGCUGAAAUAUUACAUUUAUUUUGUAUUAAUAUUUUACAAUAUCACCAUGCAAGCUUCCUCUAUUUUAUAUUAUUUAUUGUUGUAUGAUACUAGAAAGUCAGAGUCUAGAUUGUGACGCACAUUUACUUGAGAAACUUUUAAAAAUAUUUUUCCUGCUGUGGUAUUUUUGCAUUAUUUACAAAAUUAUUGUGCUGCCAAAGACACUGAAAUACAAUUUUACUAUUGAUGUGCAUAUUCUGAUCAAUACAUAGUGCAGUAACGAGUGAAAAGCUGAAUUUCUUUUUGAAUAUUUAUUUGAAAUAUUAUUGAAAAACCUGAAAAGGACAAAAAAUUAUGUGGUCAGUUGAGUUACAGGUAAUUUAAUAAAGCAGUAGAUGUACAUUAGUACAUAGUGAUACAUUUAUUAAAGGUGUAAUUUGCAUAUGAUGAACAGUUUUUUAGAUUUCAUUGUUAGAAUUAACAGAAAAUUUACAUUUGUAUUUAUAUAUAACACCUUUAUUUGAAGCCACUCAUUUUUCAUGUGAGCACAAGUAUUGUAACAGACAGACGUAAAAUAGAUUAAAGUAAAUAUAACUUUCAAUAACUGCAUCAAGACUGUAACAUUACCAAACAUUUGGAUUCUUCUUCUGUUAAACUUUUUCAGACUUUUACUGCUCUUUAGGGUUUAAGUCUGAAAACUUACUUGUCCAGUCUGAAACUUCCACUUCUUGCUCCUGAUGAACUCCAAUGUUGUUUUUGUUCAUUGUACAUGGAUUUGUAAACAUGCAGCUAGCUUCCUCUGAUUCACUAUCUUCUUUUUCAGAGGACUGUCUACUGUAGUGAAUAUAAUAAAAGUAAAGUUUCAUACAGUAAAUUCAAAUAUUACUUAAAAAAUGGACAGAUUAAAAAAGGAUUUUGGGAAAAUAACGUCCACAUCUUUUAGGGGAUGGCUGUGGUCCAGAAUGACAUCAGCAAAGUGAAGGUCAGAACAGGACUAUACAGUAUUCAUAAUGAAGUGAGAACGACAAAUCAGUCAGAGACCAGAAUAGUCAGUAAGAGAACAGCUGACUGGGAGCAAAACAUCAUAAAACGGUAGUAACAACUUUUUCAAUAUUUAUUACAUUAUGGAAAUCAAUCAGCUGAGUACACUGUAAAUAAAGACACUUGAUCUACAUCAUCAAUAUUUGAGAAACUGUUUUAAGACUCCUGUAUAAUGUUUUGUUAAUGCCGAUUAAAACCUGCAAAUCCAUAAAUGAUGACAGAGGCAUACCAAACACUUUCUGCAAGAGUCAUUGAAUAAAUAAAAUAUAAUAUAAUCAGCUAAUCAGCAACAAAAAAAUGUCUCAUUAAUUAAUAAUUACUUUAAACUACCUAAAGUCAUUCUUACAGAGCAGUCAUUAAGAGAUAAAAAAUGUUAUACUGUAAAGAAACUGAUUUUCAAAUACCUCCAUAAAUAAAUAUGUAAAUAAAUAAAUUAAAAACCCAGUCUCCUUGAUGUUAAUCAAGUUAAUUAAAAAGUGGACCAACAAACAAUUAUUAGUUCCUAUAUUUUUAUUUUUUAACUAUGCAUGUUUAUUAGAAAAAUUACUCUUUCUAUUCACGCCACUGUCAUUAAUGCUGUAGUACCUGCA